Molecule: ribosomal RNA, 496 nt
Filed under: uncultured bacterium
Lineage: Bacteria
Description: partial 16S ribosomal RNA
Rfam family: Bacterial small subunit ribosomal RNA
Source: RNAcentral
GAUGAACGCUGGCGGCGUGCCUAAUACAUGCAAGUCGAGCGAACGGACGAGAAGCUUGCUUCUCUGAUGUUAGCGGCGGACGGGUGAGUAACACGUGGAUAACCUACCUAUAAGACUGGGAUAACUUCGGGAAACCGGAGCUAAUACCGGAUAAUAUUUUGAACCGCAUGGUUCAAAAGUGAAAGACGGUCUUGCUGUCACUUAUAGAUGGAUCCGCGCUGCAUUAGCUAGUUGGUAAGGUAACGGCUUACCAAGGCAACGAUGCAUAGCCGACCUGAGAGGGCGAACGGCCACACUGGAACUGAGACACGGUCCAGACUCCUACGGGAGGCAGCGAUAGGGAAUCGUCCGCACUGGGCGAAAGCCUGAAGGAGCAACGGAGGGUGAGUGAUGAAGGUCUUCGGAUCGUAAAACUCUGUUAGGAGGGAAGAACAUAUGUGUAAGUAACUGUGCACAUCUGGACGGUACCUAAACAGAAAGCCCCGGCUAACUACGU